GACGAACGCUGGCGGCGUGCUUAACACAUGCAAGUCGAACGGAAAGGCCCUGCUUUUGUGGGGUGCUCGAGUGGCGAACGGGUGAGUAACACGUGAGUAACCUGCCCUUGACUUUGGGAUAACUUCAGGAAACUGGGGCUAAUACCGGAUAGGAGCUCCUGCUGCAUGGUGGGGGUUGGAAAGUUUCGGCGGUUGGGGAUGGACUCGCGGCUUAUCAGCUUGUUGGUGGGGUAGUGGCUUACCAAGGCUUUGACGGGUAGCCGGCCUGAGAGGGUGACCGGCCACAUUGGGACUGAGAUACGGCCCAGACUCCUACGGGAGGCAGCAGUGGGGAAUAUUGCACAGUGGGCGGAAGCCUGAUGCAGCAACGCCGCGUGCGGGAUGACGGCCUUCGGGUUGUAAACCGCUUUCGCCUGUGACGAAGCGUGAGUGACGGUAAUGGGUAAAGAAGCACCGGCUAACUACGUGCCAGCAGCCGCGGUGAUACGUAGGGUGCGAGCGUUGUCCGGAUUUAUUGGGCGUAAAGGGCUCGUAGGUGGUUGAUCGCGUCGGAAGUGUAAUCUUGGGGCUUAACCCUGAGCGUGCUUUCGAUACGGGUUGACUUGAGGAAGGUAGGGGAGAAUGGAAUUCCUGGUGGAGCGGUGGAAUGCGCAGAUAUCAGGAGGAACACCAGUGGCGAAGGCGGUUCUCUGGGCCUUUCCUGACGCUGAGGAGCGAAAGCGUGGGGAGCGAACAGGCUUAGAUACCAUGGUAGUCCACGCUGUAAACGGUGGGUACUAGGUGUGGGGUCCAUUCCACGGGUUCCGUGCCGUAGCUAACGCUUUAAGUACCCCGCCUGGGGAGUACGGCCGCAAGGCUAAAACUCAAAGGAAUUGACGGGGCCCCGCACAAGCGGCGGAGCAUGCGGAUUAAUUCGAUGCAACGCGUAGAACCUUACCUGGGUUUGACAUGGAUCGGGAGUGCUCAGAGAUGGGUGUGCCUCUUUUGGGGUCGGUUCACAGGUGGUGCAUGGCUGUCGUCAGCCCGUGUCGUGAGAUGUUGGGUUAAGUCCCGCAACGAGCGCAACCCUUGUUCACUGUUGCCAGCACGUUAUGGUGGGGACUCAGUGGAGACCGCCGGGGUCAACUCGGAGGAAGGUGGGGAUGACGUCAAGUCAUCAUGCCCCUUAUGUCCAGGGCUUCACGCAUGCUACAAUGGCUGGUACAGAGAGUGGCGAGCCUGUGAGGGUGAGCGAAUCUCGGAAAGCCGGUCUCAGUUCGGAUUGGGGUCUGCAACUCGACCUCAUGAAGUCGGAGUCGCUAGUAAUCGCAGAUCAGCAACGCUGCGGUGAAGACGUUCCCGGG
RNAcentral lists this ribosomal RNA (1343 nucleotides) under uncultured bacterium. RNAcentral describes it as "16S ribosomal RNA". It matches the Rfam family "Bacterial small subunit ribosomal RNA", at positions 28 to 1378 of the family's 1533-position model. The record is from RNAcentral.